AGGUCACUUCACAGGGCUUGUGGGGCUGCAAAGCCAAAGCUCUUUAUGCUAUGGCCAAAUACUGAAGUUCUCCAUGGGAUGUGAGAGCCACCAGGAAACAAGACUUAGCCACUCCCUCGUGACAUAACU
This 129-nucleotide small nucleolar RNA is filed under the name Aotus nancymaae (Ma's night monkey). Its description in RNAcentral is "Small nucleolar RNA SNORA25 (ENSANAG00000013966.1)". The record is from RNAcentral. Lineage: Eukaryota; Metazoa; Chordata; Mammalia; Primates; Aotidae.